UUUAUUGGAGAGUUUGAUCCUGGCUCAGGAUGAACGCUGGCGGCGUGCCUAAUACAUGCAAGUCGAGCGAAUGGAUUGAGAGCUUGCUCUCAAGAAGUUAGCGGCGGACGGGUGAGUAACACGUGGGUAACCUG
Molecule: ribosomal RNA, 134 nt
Filed under: Bacillus thuringiensis
Lineage: Bacteria; Bacillati; Bacillota; Bacilli; Caryophanales; Bacillaceae
Description: partial 16S ribosomal RNA
Rfam family: Bacterial small subunit ribosomal RNA
Source: RNAcentral